This 2325-nucleotide ribosomal RNA is filed under the name Triticum aestivum (bread wheat). RNAcentral's name for it is "partial small subunit ribosomal RNA". Lineage: Eukaryota; Viridiplantae; Streptophyta; Magnoliopsida; Poales; Poaceae. The record is from RNAcentral.
AUGAGCCAAAGCCUCGGCCACCACCGACUCUUGCUCGCUUUUCUGUCCGUGCUGCUUCUCACAGCCUCGGCGGUGGCCGACAGCACGUUGACGCAGCAGAGGGCCAUCGGCGGCGACCAGAGGCUGGCCUCGCCCGGCGGCGCCUUCCAGCUCGGCCUCUUCUCCCUCGCCAACAACACCAAGUGGUUUCUCGGCAUAUGGUUCACCGCCUCCCCGGACGCCGUCGUCUGGGUCGCCAACCGCGAUAGCCCGCUCGACGGCUCGUCCUCCGGCAUAGUCGCGCUCAGCGGGCGAGGGGCCCUCGUGCUCCUCGACGCCGCCAGCAACAACGAAACCAUCUGGUCGUCCAACUCCUCGGCCGCUGCGGUGGCGCGGCUCCAAGACGAUGGCAACCUGGUGCUCGCGGACGCGGCCGGCGCCGUCCAGUGGCAAAGCUUCGAUCACCCGACCGACACGUUCCUCUCCGGGUCGUGGGCCGGGCAGGACCUCCAGACAGGCGCCGUGUGGUCCGCCUCGUCGUGGCGCAGCGCCGACGACCCGUCGACCGGCGACUUCCGGUACGUGAUGGACACGCGGGGCUCGCCGGAGCUGCACGUCUGGAGGAAGGGGCGAAAGACGUACCGCACGGGCCCGUGGAACGGGGUGCGGUUCAGCGGCUGCCCGGGCAUGACCACCUUCGAGGACCUUGUCGAAUUCCAGUUCACCCACACCGGCGACGAGGUGUCGUACGUGUACCGUGACCGCGUCGGGUCGCCGGUGUCCCGCAUGGUCCUGACCGAGUCCGGCGAGGUGCAGCGCAUGGUCUGGAACCCUGCGACGCUCGCGUGGAGCGUUUUCUGGUCGGUGCCGAGGGACCAGUGCGACGUCUACGGCGUGUGCGGCCCGUUCGGCGUGUGCAACGCGGUCGGCGCCGUGGUGUGCGGAUGCAUCAGGGGGUUCCUGCCGAGGUCGCCGGCGGAGUGGCGCAUGCGGAACUCGUCCGGCGGGUGCGCCCGCAGCACGCCGCUUCAGUGCGGCGACGACGGUUUCUACGUUCUGCACGGUGUGAAGCUGCCGGAGACGCACAACAGCAGCGUGGACGCCGGCGCCUCGCUCGCGGAGUGCGGCCGGAGGUGCCUGUCCAACUGCUACUGCACGGCGUACGCCGCGUCGGACAUCCGUGGUGGCGGGACUGGGUGCAUACAGUGGUUCGGCGAGCUCAUGGACACGCGCUUAGGCGACGACGGCCAGGAUCUGUUCGUCAAGCUGGCAAUGUCUGAACUUCGCCUAGAGACAACCAAGACCAACAAGCUUGUCGUGGUCAUCGUCGCGGUGAUAACAACAUUUGCAUUGCUCCUGUUAUUACUUGGCCUCCUGAUCUGGAGAAAGAUCCGGCAGCGGAAUAAGCAAGUCACCGAGUUUGAUGACAUCGUGAGAGGCGAGUGUCCAGCAUACCAUCUCGAAACCCUUAAAGCCGCCACUGACGGAUUCUGCCCCAAAAAUGAAAUAGGAUGUGGUGGCUUCGGCACUGUCUACAAGGGUCAAAUGAUAGAUGGCCAGGAAAUUGCAGUGAAGAAGCUGUCAGCAGGGAAUAGAGUGCAAGGUCUGAAGGAGUUCAAGAACGAGGUGGACUUGAUCGCCAAGCUACAACACCCGCAACCUCAUCCGAAGAGACGCGCCACCUUGAGCUGGAAGACUAGGAUGGACAUCAUCUUCGGCAUUGCCAGAGGGCUUCUCUACCUUCACCAGGACUCGAGGCACACGAUGAUCCACCGAGAUCUCAAGGCAGCCAACGUUCUCCUCAAUCGGGAGAUGGUAGCCAAGAUAUCGGAUUUCGGAAUCGCCAAGUUGUUCAGCAGCAUCGGCGACCAUCAGGUCACGGAAAGGAUUGUUGGGACAUACGGUUACAUGUCACCAGAGUACGCCAUGGACGGAAUGGUUUCGUUCAUGCAAGACGUGUACAGCUUCGGUGUGCUGUUGCUAGAGAUCAUCAGUGGCAGGAGGAACCAACGGAGUUUCAACCUCAUAGCUCAUGCAUGGAUGUUAUUUGAGGAAAACAAGAGCUUCGAGCUCCUUGACCCAGCCAUGUGCAAUGGCUGCAGCCUGACGGAGCUAGAGCAGGUCGCGACGUGCAUCCAAGUAGGGCUACUAUGUGUUCAGGAGAGCCCGAGCCAACGUCCGCAAAUGGCUGCCGUAAUACCCAUGAUGUCGCACCAACAGGCGUUGGAACGACCACUUCGGCCGGUGGUAUGCAUGCCCGUGAGCACUCUUGCGGACCUUCUCAACGUGCAGGAGGACACAUCCGGCAAAGUUGAGCUGACCAUCACAAACCUUGAAGGACGAUAG